GAUGAACGCUGGCGGCGUGCCUAAUACAUGCAAGUCGAGCGAACGGACGAGAAGCUUGCUUCUCUGAUGUUAGCGGCGGACGGGUGAGUAACACGUGGAUAACCUACCUAUAAGACUGGGAUAACUUCGGGAAACCGGAGCUAAUACCGGAUAAUAUUUUGAACCGCAUGGUUCAAUAGUAAAAGACGGUCUUGCUGUCACUUAUAGAUGGAUCCGCGCUGCAUUAGCUAGUUGGUAAGGUAACGGCUUACCAAGGCAACGAUGCAUAGCCGACCUGAGAGGGGGAUCGGCGACACUGGAACGGAGACACGGACCAGAGUCCUACGGGAGGAAGCAGGAGGGAAUCUUCCGCAAAGGGCGAAAGCCUGACGGAGCAACGCCGCGUGAGGGAUGAAGGUCUUCGGAUCGUAAAACUCUGUUAUUAGGGAAGAAAAUAUGUGUAAGUAACUGUGCACAGCUUGACGGUAACUAAUCAGAAAGCAACGGCUAACUACGUG
Molecule: ribosomal RNA, 497 nt
Filed under: uncultured bacterium
Lineage: Bacteria
Description: partial 16S ribosomal RNA
Rfam family: Bacterial small subunit ribosomal RNA
Source: RNAcentral